CCUACGGAGGCAGCAGUGGGGAAUAUUGCACAAUGGGGGAAACCCUGAUGCAGCGACGCCGCGUGAGUGAAGAAGUAAUUCGUUAUGUAAAGCUCUAUCAGCAGGGAAGAAAAUGACGGUACCUGAGUAAGAAGCCCCGGCUAACUACGUGCCAGCAGCCGCGGUAAUACGUAGGGGGCAAGCGUUAUACGGAUUUACUGGGUGGAACGGGAGCGUAGACGGCAGUGCAAGUCUGGAGUGAAAGGCGGGGGCUCAACCCCCGGACUGCUCUGGAAACUGUACGGCUGGAGUGCAGGAGAGGUAAGUGGAAUGCCUGGUGUAGCGGUGAAAUGCGUAGAUAUUAGGAGGAACACCAGUGGCGAAGGCGGCUUACUGGACUGUAACUGACGUUGAAGCUCGAAAGCGUGGGGAGCAAACAGGAUUAGAUACCCUAGUAGUC
Molecule: ribosomal RNA, 439 nt
Filed under: uncultured bacterium
Lineage: Bacteria
Description: partial 16S ribosomal RNA
Rfam family: Bacterial small subunit ribosomal RNA
Source: RNAcentral